AUUGAACGCUGGCGGCAGGCCUAACACAUGCAAGUCGAGCGGAUGACGGGAGCUUGCUCCUUGAUUCAGCGGCGGACGGGUGAGUAAUGCCUAGGAAUCUGCCUGGUAGUGGGGGACGACGUUUCGAAAGGAACGCUAAUACCGCAUACGUCCUACGGGAGAAAGCAGGGGACCUUCGGGCCGUGCGCUAUUAGAUGAGCCUAGGUCGGAUUAGCUAGUUGGUGGGGUAAUGGCCCACCAAGGCGACGAUCCGUAACUGGUCUGAGAGGAAGAUCAGUCACACUGGAACUGAGACACGGUCCAGACUCCUACGGGAGGCAGCAGUGGGGAAUAUUGGACAAUGGGCGAAAGCCUGAUCCAGCCAUGCCGCGUGUGUGAAGAAGGUCUUCGGAUUGUAAAGCACUUUAAGUUGGGAGGAAGGGCAGUAAGUUAAUACCUUGCUGUUUUGACGUUACCGACAGAAUCAGCACCGGCUAACUCUGUGCCAGCCGCCGCGGUAA
Molecule: ribosomal RNA, 500 nt
Filed under: uncultured bacterium
Lineage: Bacteria
Description: partial 16S ribosomal RNA
Rfam family: Bacterial small subunit ribosomal RNA
Source: RNAcentral